GAUGAACGCUGGCGGCGUGCUUAACACAUGCAAGUCGAACGGUGAAGCAGGGGCUUGCUCUUGUGGAUCAGUGGCGAACGGGUGAGUAACACGUGAGCAACCUGCCCCUGACUCUGGGAUAAGCGCUGGAAACGGCGUCUAAUACUGGAUAUGUGAUGUGACCGCAUGGUCUGCAUCUGGACAGCAUUUCGGUUGGGGAUGGGCUCGCGGGCUAUCAGCUUGUUGGUGAGGUAAUGGCUCACCACGGCGUCGACGGGUAGCCGGCCUGAGAGGGUGACCGGCCACACUGGGACUGAGACACGGCCCAGACUCCUACGGGAGGCAGCAGUGGGGAAUAUUGCACAAUGGGCGGAAGCCUGAUGCAGCAACGCCGCGUGAGGGAUGACGGCCUUCGGGUUGUAAACCUCUUUUAGCAGGGAAGAAGCGAAAGUGACGGUACCUGCAGAAAAAGCACCGGCUAACUACGUGCCAGCCGCCGCGGUAA
This 484-nucleotide ribosomal RNA is filed under the name uncultured bacterium. RNAcentral describes it as "partial 16S ribosomal RNA". It matches the Rfam family "Bacterial small subunit ribosomal RNA", at positions 28 to 523 of the family's 1533-position model. The record is from RNAcentral.